UACGUAGGGUGCAAGCGUUGUCCGGAAUUAUUGGGCGUAAAGAGCUCGUAGGCGGUUUGUCGCGUCGAAUGUGAAAACCCGGGGCUCAACCCCGGGCCUGCAUUCGAUACGGGCAGACUAGAGUUCGGUAGGGGAGUCUGGAAUUCCUGGUGUAGCGGUGAAAUGCGCAGAUAUCAAGAGGAACACCGGUGGCGAAGGCGGGACUCUGGGCCGAUACUGACGCUGAGGAGCGAAAGUGUGGGGAGCGAACAGG
Molecule: ribosomal RNA, 253 nt
Filed under: uncultured bacterium
Lineage: Bacteria
Description: partial 16S ribosomal RNA
Rfam family: Bacterial small subunit ribosomal RNA
Source: RNAcentral